GGGCUGACUUACUACUCUAACCAGACCGAGUUUCUAGUGGAAAAAUAGCAUUAGUGGUGGAAAGGGUGUUUUAGUAUUUCAGCACAGACAUGAUUGAAUCAACAGAAAAGGGCAUCACUCCCAUCUUUACUGUACUGUGGCUGGAAUUCAAUCAUUGCAGAUACAGCUUUUCUAAACUCAAGUUUCAGAGGUGCGUUUGAUUUGCACAGCAGCAUGUCCCGGAUGGAGGGAGCGGACAUUUGAUUUAGAAACCAGCAGUCCCGUGGCGUGAUCUGUUCAGUAUAGCAACGACUCUAGCUGAGAAGACAUACAGAACUGAGAAGCUGAGAAGACAUGCAACAGGACUGCAUAUUCCCAAAUCAAGAUUCUAGGACAGAGAUGCAAAUCAAACACACUUCUGAGCUAGCAUUUCUUAUUGGACAAGGGAGUCCCUGCCAGUUUUACAGUCCCUUUUUGUUCAAUUUGGUGCCUAAUAAAUACCACCCUGGAUCCCAUUCCCAGAGGUGGUGCAUGGUGGUAUCUAGUAAUGACUAUACAGAUCCCAAGCUCUUGUUGAGAUACACUGUAAAUGCUUUUGCAUUUUAGUAAUAUGCUCUCAAUGCCAAGUCGAACAGACAUGGAGUCCAAAACGGCAACCGCAAAGGAUUCAAGAAACAGGUUUUUAAAAAGCACACAGGAUAAUGGGGCGUACACCCAGCCAAACAAGCCAGAAUUCAAACUUUAGCUCCAGAGACACAAAUCUUCAGCAAUAAAACAAACUUUAAACCACUACACUUAGACUACAGUGUUUGCUUCACAUAUCACACUUACAAAAAAAAAAAAAACAAGAAACACAAAAACUUCAUCCCUCAAAACAAAACCAAAAAUAGUCUUUGACACACAAAUGCGUCCGCAUGUGGCAAACAAAAGCGGGAAACCGUUUCAAUUUGCUCCUGUUAUUUUCUUAUUCGCUCUCCACAGUUGUAAAAGAAAAAAAAAUGACACUUCCACACGGCUCGGCCUUAUUUAGCAGUUUAUUUUUGCACUAGGGUUUCAUUAGAGGCCGGUCCAUCUGCGGAGGAGAGGAGAGAGGUGGUGUGCUACUAGCCGCCUGACAGAAUGAUUAAUAGGGGUUCUGGGGCCGGGCUCAGGCGACACAUCAAAAACAACACCGCUUCCACAGGCCUCACCGCCACUUCCUGUGGAGGGCCCCCGCCGCAAAUGAAGUGAGAGGAGGGGGGUGGAGGUAGUAUUGGUGGUGGGUGAACAAACCGACGUUAAUGAAGUUCCACCAAUCUCCCCCUCCAUCUCCUUGAGACAGCCCAGGAGUCAUCUUUAAUUAGGGCUUGUUCGUUGCCACCCGCGGGGAGGAGGGGUGGAUGCGGAAGGGAGAAAAUACGUUUAAAAAAAAAAAGUUCUGGAGAGGAUUUAAAUGCACUUAAAAGGGCUGAAACUGUUUGUAGAAUGAGCAUCAGGCAAUUACAGAAACGUUGGAGACCUGCACACAACAGACAAAUAUUGUUUUUGGACCAGUUUGAGUCGUGACACAGUCAUUAGCAGGACUAAACGGUGGUGACGAUGAUGGGAUAGGUGUCGCUGAGAGGAGAAGACCAACGACGAAAAUCAACAACACACUAGGACUAGGAAACGUCCAAACCAAGACAGCAAAAUAACCUAGAAGGCUUCGCUGACAAAUUCUCUGAGGACGUAAACUGCUGUUUAGCAACGCGCACGCAAACACAGGGGAUAAUAAUAAACAGCCUUUGGAACAGACACUGGCGCUGUUAACCGAGGGCGGGCGUCUUGCAGCUUUUUGUUGAGACAUGGAGGUUUGGUGAGUGUCUGCUAAACUGAUCAGCCCGUAGUUGGGCUGAACGGUAUACUAGCAUGUGGUAUUGCUAAUGGCUCAUCACCGGGUUUUAUUGGCCCGUGGCUUCUUCUCUUGUUUGUGUUAUUAUGGAAAUGAGCUCAUCUGUGCCCC
Long non-coding RNA from Oncorhynchus tshawytscha (Chinook salmon), 1960 nucleotides. The record is from Ensembl. Lineage: Eukaryota; Metazoa; Chordata; Actinopteri; Salmoniformes; Salmonidae.